UGGAUGGCUGCUGCCAGAAUUCUAGACUUUCAGAGCCUUUCAGGAUGGGGAACUAAUGAGAAGACACUGAUCAACAUUUUAGCGCAUAGAAAUGCCACCCAAAGAAAGCAGAUUCAGUUGGCUUACGAGGAAUUGUACAACGAGAGUCUCACCAAAAAGCUCGAAUCAGAACUGAAAGGAAACUUUGAGUUUACAAAUCUCAAGUACUCCAGAGUUGAAAUUGAUGAAGUGCGGUUCGAGUGGGCUG
Long non-coding RNA from Zingiber officinale, 247 nucleotides. RefSeq lists it as uncharacterized. The record is from RefSeq and is a predicted model, not a curated record. The transcript has 3 exons. Lineage: Eukaryota; Viridiplantae; Streptophyta; Magnoliopsida; Zingiberales; Zingiberaceae.